AUUCCUACGGGAGGCAGCAGUGAGGAAUAUUGGACAAUGGAUGGAAAUCUGAUCCAGCCAUGCCGCGUGCAGGAAGACGGCCCUAUGGGUUGUAAACUGCUUUUGUAUGGGAGCAAUAAGGUCUAUGCGUAGACUGAUGAGAGUACCAUACGAAUAAGCAUCGGCUAACUCCGUGCCAGCAGCCGCGGUAAUACGGGGGAUGCAAGCGUUAUCCGGAUUUAUUGGGUUUAAAGGGUGCGUAGGCGGUUUGAUAAGUCAGCGGUGAAAUAUUUCAGCUUAACUGAAAGGGUGCCGUUGAUACUGUCAGGCUUGAAUAUGGUUGCUGUGGGUGGAAUGUGUGGUGUAGCGGUGAAAUGCUUAGAUAUCACACAGAAUAUCGAUUGCGAAGGCAGCUCACAAAGCCAUUAUUGACGCUGAUGCACGAAAGUGUGGGGAUCAAACAGGAUUAGAUACCCUGGUAGUCCACACUGUAAACGAUGAUAACUCGCUGUCGGCGAUACACAGUCGGUAGCCAAGCGAAAGCGAUAAGUUAUCCACCUGGGGAGUACGACCGCAAGGUUGAAACUCAAAGGAAUUGACGGGGGCCCGCAUAAGCGGAGGAACAUGUGGUUUAAUUCGAUGAUACGCGAGGAACCUUACCCGGGCUCGAACGGUGCAGGAAUACGUCAGAGAUGAUGUAGCUAGCAAUAGUCUGUAUCGAGGUGCUGCAUGGUUGUCGUCAGCUCGUGCCGUGAGGUGUCGGCUUAAAUGCCAUAACGAGCGCAACCCUUGUCGUUAGUUGCCAUCAGGUAAUGCUGGGAACUCUAGCGAGACUGCCACCGUAAGGUGUGAGGAAGGGGGGGAUGACGUCAAAUCAGCACGGCCCUUACGUCCGGGGCGACACACGUGUUACAAUGGUAGGUACAGAGGGCAGCUACCCAGCAAUGGGGUGCGAAUCUCAAAAGCCUAUCUCAGUUCGGAUCGGAGUCUGCAACUCGACUCCGUGAAGUUGGAUUCGCUAGUAAUCGCGCAUCAGCCAUGGCGCGGUGAAUACGUUCCCGGGCCUUGUACACACCGCC
RNAcentral lists this ribosomal RNA (1058 nucleotides) under uncultured bacterium. RNAcentral describes it as "bacterial SSU rRNA". It matches the Rfam family "Bacterial small subunit ribosomal RNA", at positions 335 to 1394 of the family's 1533-position model. The record is from RNAcentral.